UUUAAAUGUAAAUUAUUAUACUAAAGUAGUAAUAGUUAAGUUCUUUAAAUUUAAAGAUUUUGGCGGUAUUUUAGUCUAUUCAGAGGAACCUGUUCUAUAAUUGAUAAUCCACGAUUAAAUUUACUUAAUUUAAUAAUUUGUACAUCGUCGUUUAUAAAUAAUUUUAAAAGAAUUUAAAUUUUUAAGAUUUUUUAUUAAAAAAUAUAUCAGAUCAAGGUGCAGUUUAUAUUUAAGAAGAAAUGGGUUACAAUAAAUUUAUUAAUAUGGAUUAAUAUGUAAAAUUGUAUUAUGAAGGAGGAUUUGAUAGUAAUAAAAUUAAAUUAAAUUUUAUGAUUUUAGCUCUCACAUAUGU
This 352-nucleotide ribosomal RNA is filed under the name Rhantus grapii. RNAcentral's name for it is "partial 12S ribosomal RNA". The record is from RNAcentral. Lineage: Eukaryota; Metazoa; Arthropoda; Insecta; Coleoptera; Dytiscidae.